UACGUAGGGGGCUAGCGUUGUCCGGAAUCAUUGGGCGUAAAGCGCGCGUAGGCGGUCCGGUAAGUCCGCUGUGAAAGUCGAGGGCUCAACCCUCGAAUGCCGGUGGAUACUGUCGGGCUUGAGUACGGGAGAGGCGAGUGGAAUUCCUGGUGUAGCGGUGAAAUGCGCAGAUAUCAGGAGGAACACCGAUUGCGAAGGCAGCUCGCUGGAACGUUACUGACGCUGAGACGCGAAAGCGUGGGGAGCAAACAGG
Molecule: ribosomal RNA, 253 nt
Filed under: uncultured bacterium
Lineage: Bacteria
Description: partial 16S ribosomal RNA
Rfam family: Bacterial small subunit ribosomal RNA
Source: RNAcentral